Molecule: transfer RNA, 85 nt
Filed under: Felis catus (domestic cat)
Lineage: Eukaryota; Metazoa; Chordata; Mammalia; Carnivora; Felidae
Rfam family: tRNA
About the family: Transfer RNA (tRNA) molecules are approximately 80 nucleotides in length. Their secondary structure includes four short double-helical elements and three loops (D, anti-codon, and T loops).
Source: Rfam by way of RNAcentral
GCCUGGGUGGCUCAGUCGGUUAAGCGUCUGACUUCACCUCAGAUCAUGAUCUCGUGGUCCGUGGGUUUGAACCCCGCGUCAGGCU